Dentipellis sp. KUC8613 is the source of this 90-nucleotide non-coding RNA. NCBI's taxonomy places the organism in Eukaryota, Fungi, Basidiomycota, Agaricomycetes, Russulales, Hericiaceae. The record is from the annotation of a GenBank genome assembly.
GCAUUAGUGGUGUAGCGGUAACAUUGGGUCUUCCCAAGAGAUCAAAUCGCUUGAUUGGCCUAGCUCCGGGUUCGACUCCCGGCUGAUGCA